CUAUCAUGUAUCGAUGCAGUAAAUUCUUAUGAUGUAUUAUACCCUGCAAAGCUGAUACUUAUCCAAUUGAAAUUAUGUUAGAUAAUCCAUAGGUAUAUUACCAAGUACCAAGUGUCUACAAGAAGUACUUGAUGCAAGGAAUGUUGAACUGGCCCGUACCGGCCACUUUAGCCCGUACUGAACCGGUCCAGUUUCUGACUAGGUCAGUGCGGCCACAGAAAACGGUCCCGGUUCCUACAAGGCUGGAACCGGCCGAUACAAGGCUGAACCUGAAGAACUGGACCGGUUCCGUCCGGUUCGGUGAGAACUUGAUGCGAACCGAAACCUAAUUCGGUUCGAUUUGCCAUAGCAUUAUGGUUGUGGCAUUAAAUGCCACAGCAAUGCCACAACAUGCUGUGGCUUGUUUGGCCGGUUCGGUACCGGUACCAAACUGGUCCAGUGGCCGACCAGUAUGCCGAUUGGUAACGGUUCGGCGAUUCUUGACUUGAUGGGUCAUACCAAUAUAUAACUUAGCACAUUUAUUAAGCCAAGCUAAUUUUUUCAAAAAAACAUAUCAUUACUUUUUAUCUAUUAAUGCUAAAAAUGUGCUAACAUGCGUUCUAAUGAUUUAGCUCUGCUCAUCACAUGAUUGUGUUUGAGAUGUCUCAUAACAAUUGGACUAAUCUGAUUACAAUUUCUUUUUCAAAUUCAUUGAUUGAUUUGUUCAAUCUUUCGUUCUUGCUUGCUGCAUGCAUGCUUUCUUUCCUUAGCUUACUUGCCCGAUAUAAAGUACAUAGAUCCAAAUAUCUUUCUCAUUGCCCCAAAAAUGGGAAAAAAAGGUGAUAUCAGAGAACUAGAUAACUAACAAAGAAUGAACAUGACACUGGCACGCUAUUUCCGCAUGUAACAGUCAAACAUAGCUUUCCACACCAACUCCCAUCCUAAUACAAUAACAAUAACUAUUAAACCUACCCGAACCAAGGGGUUCGAAAAUCACUAGGUUCAAUUAUAAAACCAUCGGUUCAAUUGUAAAACGCUUGGUUAUAACUCGUGAUGGUUCAAGCCCUUCCCCCAGUCUCAAGAUGUUUCAAGAGCAUCCCCCCUCCCUUGUUAGAGGAUCAAAAUGGU
Molecule: long non-coding RNA, 1107 nt
Filed under: Phoenix dactylifera (date palm)
Lineage: Eukaryota; Viridiplantae; Streptophyta; Magnoliopsida; Arecales; Arecaceae
Description: long non-coding RNA (PDAC_LNC015862)
Source: RNAcentral